This 565-nucleotide ribosomal RNA is filed under the name Plicofollis magatensis. RNAcentral's name for it is "partial 16S ribosomal RNA". It matches the Rfam family "Bacterial large subunit ribosomal RNA", at positions 1816 to 2597 of the family's 2925-position model. Lineage: Eukaryota; Metazoa; Chordata; Actinopteri; Siluriformes; Ariidae. The record is from RNAcentral.
CGCCUCCUGCAAACAUCAACGUAUAGGAGGUCUCGCCUGCCCAGUGACAAGUUAAACGGCCGCGGUAUUUUGACCGUGCGAAGGUAGCGCAAUCACUUGUCUUUUAAAUGAAGACCUGUAUGAAUGGUAGAACGAGGGCUUAACUGUCUCCCUUUUUAAGUCAAUGAAAUUGAUCUGCCCGUGCAGAAGCGGGCAUACUAAUACAAGACGAGAAGACCCUUUGGAGCUUAAGACUCCAGAUCAACUAUGUCAAGAACUUAAACCAAGUUAAACCAAAUAGCCCCUGAUCCUAAUCUUUAGUUGGGGCGACCACGGGAGAAAACAAAGCUCCCAUGAGGACUGGACCCCCCUCCAGAACCAAGAAAGACAUCUCUAAGUCACAGAACCUCUGACCAUAAAGAUCCGGCCACCCGCCGACCAACGGACCAAGUUACCCUAGGGAUAACAGCGCAAUCCCCUUUCAGAGUCCAUAUCGACAAGGGGGUUUACGACCUCGAUGUUGGAUCAGGACAUCCUAAUGGUGCAGCCGCUAUUAAGGGUUCGUUUGUUCAACGAUUAAAGUCCU